Non-coding RNA from Mycena vitilis, 82 nucleotides. The record is from the annotation of a GenBank genome assembly. NCBI's taxonomy places the organism in Eukaryota, Fungi, Basidiomycota, Agaricomycetes, Agaricales, Mycenaceae.
GGCGCUAUGGCCGAGUGGUUAAGGCGACAGAUUCGAAAUCUGUUCCGGUUUCCGGGCGUAGGUUCAAAUCCUGCUGGCGUCG